RNAcentral lists this ribosomal RNA (450 nucleotides) under uncultured bacterium. Its description in RNAcentral is "partial 16S ribosomal RNA". It matches the Rfam family "Bacterial small subunit ribosomal RNA", at positions 354 to 796 of the family's 1533-position model. The record is from RNAcentral.
GUGGGGAAUUUUGGACAAUGGGCGCAAGCCUGAUCCAGCAAUGCCGCGUGCAGGAAGAAGGCCUUCGGGUUGUAAACUGCUUUUGUACGGAACGAAACGGCUCUGGUUAAUACCCGGGGCUAAUGACGGUACCGUAAGAAUAAGCACCGGCUAACUACGUGCCAGCAGCCGCGGUAAUACGUAGGGUGCAAGCGUUAAUCGGAAUUACUGGGCGUAAAGCGUGCGCAGGCGGUUUUGUAAGACAGGCGUGAAAUCCCCGGGCUCAACCUGGGAAUGGCGCUUGUGACUGCAAAGCUGGAGUGCGGCAGAGGGGGAUGGAAUUCCGCGUGUAGCAGUGAAAUGCGUAGAUAUGCGGAGGAACACCGAUGGCGAAGGCAAUCCCCUGGGCUUGCACUGACGCUCAUGCACGAAAGCGUGGGGAGCAAACAGGAUUAGAAACCCUUGUAGUCC